RNAcentral lists this ribosomal RNA (1229 nucleotides) under Salmonella enterica. RNAcentral's name for it is "partial 23S ribosomal RNA". It matches the Rfam family "Bacterial large subunit ribosomal RNA", at positions 1 to 1267 of the family's 2925-position model. The record is from RNAcentral. Lineage: Bacteria; Pseudomonadati; Pseudomonadota; Gammaproteobacteria; Enterobacterales; Enterobacteriaceae.
GGUUAAGCGACUAAGCGUACACGGUGGAUGCCCUGGCAGUCAGAGGCGAUGAAGGACGUGCUAAUCUGCGAUAAGCGCCGGUAAGGUGAUAUGAACCGUUAUAACCGGCGAUUUCCGAAUGGGGAAACCCAGUGUGACUCGUCACACUAUCAUUAACUGAAUCCAUAGGUUAAUGAGGCGAACCGGGGGAACUGAAACAUCUAAGUACCCCGAGGAAAAGAAAUCAACCGAGAUUCCCCCAGUAGCGGCGAGCGAACGGGGAGGAGCCCAGAGCCUGAAUCAGCAUGUGUGUUAGUGGAAGCGUCUGGAAAGGCGCGCGAUACAGGGUGACAGCCCCGUACACAAAAGCGCAUGUGCUGUGAGCUCGAUGAGUAGGGCGGGACACGUGGUAUCCUGUCUGAAUAUGGGGGGACCAUCCUCCAAGGCUAAAUACUCCUGACUGACCGAUAGUGAACCAGUACCGUGAGGGAAAGGCGAAAAGAACCCCGGCGAGGGGAGUGAAAAAGAACCUGAAACCGUGUACGUACAAGCAGUGGGAGCACAGGUUUACCUGUGUGACUGCGUACCUUUUGUAUAAUGGGUCAGCGACUUAUAUUCUGUAGCAAGGUUAACCGAAUAGGGGAGCCGGAGGGAAACCGAGUCUUAACCGGGCGUUAAGUUGCAGGGUAUAGACCCGAAACCCGGUGAUCUAGCCAUGGGCAGGUUGAAGGUUGGGUAACACUAACUGGAGGACCGAACCGACUAAUGUUGAAAAAUUAGCGGAUGACCUGUGGCUGGGGGUGAAAGGCCAAUCAAACCGGGAGAUAGCUGGUUCUCCCCGAAAGCUAUUUAGGUAGCGCCUCGUGAAUUCAUCUCCGGGGGUAGAGCACUGUUUCGGCUAGGGGGCCAUCCCGGCUUACCAACCCGAUGCAAACUGCGAAUACCGGAGAAUGUUAUCACGGGAGACACACGGCGGGUGCUAACGUCCGUCGUGAAGAGGGAAACAACCCAGACCGCCAGCUAAGGUCCCAAAGUCAUGGUUAAGUGGGAAACGAUGUGGGAAGGCCCAGACAGCCAGGAUGUUGGCUUAGAAGCAGCCAUCAUUUAAAGAAAGCGUAAUAGCUCACUGGUCGAGUCGGCCUGCGCGGAAGAUGUAACGGGGCUAAACCAUGCACCGAAGCUGCGGCAGCGACGCUGAUGCGUUGUUGGGUAGGGGAGCGUUCUGUAAGCCUGUGAAGGUGGCCUGUGAG